Molecule: ribosomal RNA, 496 nt
Filed under: uncultured bacterium
Lineage: Bacteria
Description: partial 16S ribosomal RNA
Rfam family: Bacterial small subunit ribosomal RNA
Source: RNAcentral
AUGAACGCUGGCGGCGUGCCUAAUACAUGCAAGUCGAGCGAACAGACGAGGAGCUUGCUCCUCUGACGUUAGCGGCGGACGGGUGAGUAACACGUGGAUAACCUACCUAUAAGACUGGGAUAACUUCGGGAAACCGGAGCUAAUACCGGAUAAUAUAUUGAACCGCAUGGUUCAAUAGUGAACGACGGUUUUGCUGUCACUUAUAGAUGGAUCCGCGCCGCAUUAGCUAGUUGGUAAGGUAACGGCUUACCAAGGCAACGAUGCGUAGCCGACCUGAGAGGGUGAUCGGCCACACUGGAACUGAGACACGGUCCAGACUCCUACGGGAGGCAGCAGUAGGGAAUCUUCCGCAAUGGGCGAAAGCUUGACGGAGCAACGCCGCGUGAGUGAUGAAGGUCUUCGGAUCGUAAAACUCUGUUAUUAGGGAAGAACAAAUGUGUAAGUAACUAUGCACGUCUUGACGGUACCUAAUCAGAAAGCCACGGCUAACUACGUG